Molecule: ribosomal RNA, 569 nt
Filed under: uncultured bacterium
Lineage: Bacteria
Description: partial 16S ribosomal RNA
Rfam family: Bacterial small subunit ribosomal RNA
Source: RNAcentral
UAGGGAAUCUUCCACAAUGGACGCAAGUCUGAUGGAGCAACGCCGCGUGAGUGAAGAAGGUUUUCGGACCGUAAAGCUCUGUUGUUGGUGAAGAAGGAUAGAGGUAGUAACUGGCCUUUAUUUGACGGUAAUCAACCAGAAAGUCACGGCUAACUACGUGCCAGCAGCCGCGGUAAUACGUAGGUGGCAAGCGUUGUCCGGAUUUAUUGGGCGUAAAGCGAGCGCAGGCGGAAGAAUAAGUCUGAUGUGAAAGCCCUCGGCUUAACCGAGGAAUUGCAUCGGAAACUGUUUUCUUGAGUGCAGAAGAGGAGAGUAGAACUCCAUGUGUAGCGGUGGAAUGCGUAGAUAUAUGGAAGAAUACCAGUGGCGAAGGCGGCUCUCUGGUCUGCAACUGACGCUGAGGCUCGAAAGCAUGGGUAGCGAACAGGAUUAGAUACCCUGGUAGUCCAUGCCGUAAACGAUGAGUGCUAAGUGUUGGGAGGCUUCCGCCUCUCAGUGCUGCAGCUAACGCAUUAAGCACUCCGCCUGGGGGAGUACGACCGCAAGGUUGAAACUCAAAGUGAAUUGAC